RNAcentral lists this transfer-messenger RNA (367 nucleotides) under Olsenella uli. It matches the Rfam family "transfer-messenger RNA". Rfam says of the family: Bacterial tmRNA, also known as 10Sa RNA or SsrA, is named for its dual tRNA and mRNA-like properties. Its role is to liberate the mRNA from a stalled ribosome. Lineage: Bacteria; Bacillati; Actinomycetota; Coriobacteriia; Coriobacteriales; Atopobiaceae. The record is from RNAcentral. RNAcentral also lists the same sequence under 1 other name.
GGGGGCGACUGGUUUCGACAGGGUGUUCCUGAGGUGGGCAGCAAGCCGUGGUCUCCUCGCCACGUAAAACAGGGGUACCGUCAAAUUGAAUUGACGACAACUCUUAUCAGGGCAACCUUGCCCUCGCUGCUUAAUCUAAUUUAGCAGCCGUCAAUGCGGGAAUCGCUCCUGUUCCCGCGGCGACGUCACUUUAGGGAGCUGCUGGCGCGGACGUGGUUGGUAUGCCGCGCAGUAAGACUGAACCAGCUGGGGCGCCGAGCGCGGGUCACCGUGUGCAAAGCGCCCGAGACUCAAACGGCGACUGAGCUUGGAGACACCUGCCAGGGGAGUGCUUUGGACCGGAGUUCGAUUCUCCGCGCCUCCACCA